AGAGACAGCAGUAGCCGCGGUAAAACAGAGGGUGCGAGCGUUAAUCGGAUUUACUGGGCGUAAAGCGUGCGUAGGCGGCUUUUUAAGUCGGAUGUGAAAUCCCUGAGCUUAACUUAGGAAUUGCAUUCGAUACUGGGAAGCUAGAGUAUGGGAGAGGAUGGUAGAAUUCCAGGUGUAGCGGUGAAAUGCGUAGAGAUCUGGAGGAAUACCGAUGGCGAAGGCAGCCAUCUGGCCUAAUACUGACGCUGAGGUACGAAAGCAUGGGGAGCAAACAGGAUUAGAUACCCCGGUAGUCCCUGUCUCUUAUAC
RNAcentral lists this ribosomal RNA (309 nucleotides) under uncultured bacterium. RNAcentral describes it as "partial 16S ribosomal RNA". It matches the Rfam family "Bacterial small subunit ribosomal RNA", at positions 504 to 807 of the family's 1533-position model. The record is from RNAcentral.